UACGUAGGGCGCAAGCGUUGUCCGGAAUUAUUGGGCGUAAAGAGCUCGUAGGCGGUUUGUCGCGUCUGCUGUGAAAGCCCGGGGCUCAACCCCGGGUCUGCAGUGGGUACGGGCAGACUAGAGUGCAGUAGGGGAGACUGGAAUUCCUGGUGUAGCGGUGAAAUGCGCAGAUAUCAGGAGGAACACCGAUGGCGAAGGCAGGUCUCUAGGGCUCGUUACUGACGCUGAGGAGCGAAAAGCAUAGGGGAGCGAACAGGAUUAGAUACCCCGGUACGCC
Molecule: ribosomal RNA, 277 nt
Filed under: uncultured bacterium
Lineage: Bacteria
Description: partial 16S ribosomal RNA
Rfam family: Bacterial small subunit ribosomal RNA
Source: RNAcentral